Molecule: ribosomal RNA, 506 nt
Filed under: uncultured bacterium
Lineage: Bacteria
Description: partial 16S ribosomal RNA
Rfam family: Bacterial small subunit ribosomal RNA
Source: RNAcentral
GAUGAACGCUAGCGACAGGCUUAACACAUGCAAUUCGAGGGGCAUCAGGGUUUGUAGUAAUACAGAUUGCUGGCGACCGGCGCACGGGUGAGUAACGCGUAUGCAACCUACCUAUCAGAGGGGGAUAGCCCAUUGAAAGAUGGAUUAAUACCUCAUAAUACAUGAUUUCCGCAUGGGAGCUAUGUUAAAGAUUAAUUGCUGAUAGAUGGGCAUUCGUUCCAUUAGGUAGUUGGUAAGGUAAUGGCUUACCAAGCCAUCGAUGGAUAGGGGUUCUGAGAGGUAUGUCCCCCACACUGGUACUGAGACACGGACCAGACUCCUACGGGAGGCAGCAGUGAGGAAUAAUGGUCAAUGGGCGAGAGCCUGAACCAACCAAGUCGCGUGAAGGAUUACUGCCCUAUGGGUUGUAAACUUCUUUUAUAAGGGAAUAAAAAGGGGAACGUGUUCCUUGUUGUAUGUACCUUAUGAAUAAGCAUCGGCUAACUCCGUGCCAGCCGCCGCGGUAA